RNAcentral lists this ribosomal RNA (253 nucleotides) under uncultured bacterium. RNAcentral's name for it is "partial 16S ribosomal RNA". It matches the Rfam family "Bacterial small subunit ribosomal RNA", at positions 524 to 776 of the family's 1533-position model. The record is from RNAcentral.
UACGUAGGGCGCAAGCGUUGUCCGGAAUUAUUGGGCGUAAAGAGCUCGUAGGCGGUCUGUUACGUCCGCUGUGAAAACCCGGGGCUUAACCCUGGGCUGGCAGUGGAUACGGACAGACUAGAGGUAGGUAGGGGAGAAUGGAAUUCCCGGUGUAGCGGUGAAAUGCGCAGAUAUCGGGAGGAACACCGGUGGCGAAGGCGGUUCUCUGGGCCUUACCUGACGCUGAGGAGCGAAAGCGUGGGGAGCGAACAGG